RNAcentral lists this ribosomal RNA (490 nucleotides) under uncultured bacterium. RNAcentral's name for it is "partial 16S ribosomal RNA". It matches the Rfam family "Bacterial small subunit ribosomal RNA", at positions 30 to 507 of the family's 1533-position model. The record is from RNAcentral.
AUUGAACGCUGGCGGCAGGCCUAACACAUGCAAGUCGAACGGUAACAGGAAACAGCUUGCUGUUUCGCUGACGAGUGGCGGACGGGUGAGUAAUGUCUGGGAAACUGCCUGAUGGAGGGGGAUAACUACUGGAAACGGUAGCUAAUACCGCAUAACGUCGCAAGACCAAAGAGGGGGACCUUCGGGCCUCUUGCCAUCGGAUGUGCCCAGAUGGGAUUAGCUAGUAGGUGGGGUAAAGGCUCACCUAGGCGACGAUCCCUAGCUGGUCUGAGAGGAUGACCAGCCACACUGGAACUGAGACACGGUCCAGACUCCUACGGGAGGCAGCAGUGGGGAAUAUUGCACAAUGGGCGCAAGCCUGAUGCAGCCAUGCCGCGUGUAUGAAGAAGGCCUUCGGGUUGUAAAGUACUUUCAGCGGGGAGGAAGGGAGUAAAGUUAAUACCUUGGCUCAUUGACGUUACCCGCAGAAGAAGCACCGGCUAACUCCGUG